RNAcentral lists this transfer RNA (71 nucleotides) under Chelonia mydas (Green sea turtle). It matches the Rfam family "tRNA". From Rfam's summary of the family: Transfer RNA (tRNA) molecules are approximately 80 nucleotides in length. Their secondary structure includes four short double-helical elements and three loops (D, anti-codon, and T loops). Lineage: Eukaryota; Metazoa; Chordata; Testudines; Cheloniidae. The record is from Rfam by way of RNAcentral. RNAcentral also lists the same sequence under 2 other names.
GGCAGAGUGACCCAAUGGAUAGCACACUGGCUGGGACUCAGGAAACCUGGGUUCUAUUCCUAGCUCUGCCA